UACGGGGGGUGCGAGCGUUGUCCGGAAUCACUGGGCGUAAAGGGCGCGUAGGUGGCCUGAUAAGGGUGUGGUGAAAGUCCGGGGCUCAACCCCGGAUCGGCCGUGCCGACUGUUAGGCUAGAGUACUGUAGGGGCAGGCGGAAGUUCCGGGUGUAGCGGUGGAAUGCGUAGAGAUCCGGAGGAAGACCGGUGGCGAAGGCGGCCUGCUGGGCGAGUUACUGACACUGAG
RNAcentral lists this ribosomal RNA (229 nucleotides) under uncultured bacterium. Its description in RNAcentral is "partial 16S ribosomal RNA". It matches the Rfam family "Bacterial small subunit ribosomal RNA", at positions 524 to 750 of the family's 1533-position model. The record is from RNAcentral.